UGUACUGCUGUGCUCUUUAUUUCGGGUGUGGGUUGUAAGGUCUUGCGGACCAUCCGAGCUUUAAUGAGUUCGCUAAAGAAGAUGCAGACGGGCAAGUAGAGCCAGCAUGCCGGUGGCCCGGAGCUGGGUUUGUCGCAAAACCUAUGUGACCCCGCGGAGACCCUUCGAGAAGUCCCGCCUCGACCAAGAGCUGAAGCUGAUCGGCGAGUAUGGGCUCCGGAACAAACGUGAGGUCUGGAGGGUCAAAUUUACCCUGGCCAAGAUCCGCAAGGCUGCCCGCGAGCUGCUGACGCUGGAUGAGAAAGACCCGCGGCGUCUGUUUGAAGGCAAUGCCCUGCUGCGGCGACUCGUCCGUAUCGGGGUGCUGGACGAGGGCAAGAUGAAGCUGGAUUACAUCUUGGGCCUGAAGAUUGAGGAUUUCUUGGAGAGACGCCUGCAGACCCAGGUCUUCAAGCUGGGCCUGGCCAAGUCCAUCCACCACGCCCGUGUGCUGAUCCGCCAGCGCCAUAUCAGCCCUCGGAGGUGAGGAAGGUGUGAGCUCCCCUUGAGGGUACAGAUUGACCCCUACAAACAGCUCAUGGGGGAGCUGGGGGCAGCCUCAUCCCCCCGUAGCCCAGCGCAAGGGUCACUGCGGCUGGAGCCGUACACCUUGCGAAGGCUUCUCCGAGGCGUGCAGGUAGCUGGACAGGGUCCGCAAGCAGGUGGUGAACAUCCCGUCCUUCAUUGUCCGCCUGGACUCCCAGAAGCACAUCGACUUCUCCCUCCGCUCUCCGUACGG
Balaenoptera ricei (Rice's whale) is the source of this 778-nucleotide RNA transcript. It is a transcript of the gene named ribosomal protein S9, with no coding region annotated. The transcript is spliced from 6 exons. The record is from RefSeq and is a predicted model, not a curated record. NCBI's taxonomy places the organism in Eukaryota, Metazoa, Chordata, Mammalia, Artiodactyla, Balaenopteridae.